GAUGAACGCUGGCGGCGUGCUUAACACAUGCAAGUCGAACGGGAAAUAUUUCAUUGAGACUUCGGUGGAUUUGAUCUAUUUCUAGUGGCGGACGGGUGAGUAACGCGUGGGUAACCUGCCUUAUACAGGGGGAUAACAGUCAGAAAUGGCUGCUAAUACCGCAUAAGCGCACAGAGCUGCAUGGCUCAGUGUGAAAAACUCCGGUGGUAUAAGAUGGACCCGCGUUGGAUUAGCUGGUUGGUGGGGUAACGGCCCACCAAGGCGACGAUCCAUAGCCGGCCUGAGAGGGUGAACGGCCACAUUGGGACUGAGACACGGCCCAGACUCCUACGGGAGGCAGCAGUGGGGAAUAUUGCACAAUGGGGGAAACCCUGAUGCAGCGACGCCGCGUGAAGGAAGAAGUAUCUCGGUAUGUAAACUUCUAUCAGCAGGGAAGAUAG
This 440-nucleotide ribosomal RNA is filed under the name uncultured bacterium. Its description in RNAcentral is "bacterial SSU rRNA". It matches the Rfam family "Bacterial small subunit ribosomal RNA", at positions 28 to 451 of the family's 1533-position model. The record is from RNAcentral.